This 2904-nucleotide ribosomal RNA is filed under the name Escherichia coli. Its description in RNAcentral is "23S ribosomal RNA". It matches the Rfam family "Bacterial large subunit ribosomal RNA". The record is from RNAcentral. Lineage: Bacteria; Pseudomonadati; Pseudomonadota; Gammaproteobacteria; Enterobacterales; Enterobacteriaceae.
GGUUAAGCGACUAAGCGUACACGGUGGAUGCCCUGGCAGUCAGAGGCGAUGAAGGACGUGCUAAUCUGCGAUAAGCGUCGGUAAGGUGAUAUGAACCGUUAUAACCGGCGAUUUCCGAAUGGGGAAACCCAGUGUGAUUCGUCACACUAUCAUUAACUGAAUCCAUAGGUUAAUGAGGCGAACCGGGGGAACUGAAACAUCUAAGUACCCCGAGGAAAAGAAAUCAACCGAGAUUCCCCCAGUAGCGGCGAGCGAACGGGGAGCAGCCCAGAGCCUGAAUCAGUGUGUGUGUUAGUGGAAGCGUCUGGAAAGGCGCGCGAUACAGGGUGACAGCCCCGUACACAAAAAUGCACAUGCUGUGAGCUCGAUGAGUAGGGCGGGACACGUGGUAUCCUGUCUGAAUAUGGGGGGACCAUCCUCCAAGGCUAAAUACUCCUGACUGACCGAUAGUGAACCAGUACCGUGAGGGAAAGGCGAAAAGAACCCCGGCGAGGGGAGUGAAAAAGAACCUGAAACCGUGUACGUACAAGCAGUGGGAGCACGCUUAGGCGUGUGACUGCGUACCUUUUGUAUAAUGGGUCAGCGACUUAUAUUCUGUAGCAAGGUUAACCGAAUAGGGGAGCCGAAGGGAAACCGAGUCUUAACUGGGCGUUAAGUUGCAGGGUAUAGACCCGAAACCCGGUGAUCUAGCCAUGGGCAGGUUGAAGGUUGGGUAACACUAACUGGAGGACCGAACCGACUAAUGUUGAAAAAUUAGCGGAUGACUUGUGGCUGGGGGUGAAAGGCCAAUCAAACCGGGAGAUAGCUGGUUCUCCCCGAAAGCUAUUUAGGUAGCGCCUCGUGAAUUCAUCUCCGGGGGUAGAGCACUGUUUCGGCAAGGGGGUCAUCCCGACUUACCAACCCGAUGCAAACUGCGAAUACCGGAGAAUGUUAUCACGGGAGACACACGGCGGGUGCUAACGUCCGUCGUGAAGAGGGAAACAACCCAGACCGCCAGCUAAGGUCCCAAAGUCAUGGUUAAGUGGGAAACGAUGUGGGAAGGCCCAGACAGCCAGGAUGUUGGCUUAGAAGCAGCCAUCAUUUAAAGAAAGCGUAAUAGCUCACUGGUCGAGUCGGCCUGCGCGGAAGAUGUAACGGGGCUAAACCAUGCACCGAAGCUGCGGCAGCGACGCUGAUGCGUUGUUGGGUAGGGGAGCGUUCUGUAAGCCUGCGAAGGUGUGCUGUGAGGCAUGCUGGAGGUAUCAGAAGUGCGAAUGCUGACAUAAGUAACGAUAAAGCGGGUGAAAAGCCCGCUCGCCGGAAGACCAAGGGUUCCUGUCCAACGUUAAUCGGGGCAGGGUGAGUCGACCCCUAAGGCGAGGCCGAAAGGCGUAGUCGAUGGGAAACAGGUUAAUAUUCCUGUACUUGGUGUUACUGCGAAGGGGGGACGGAGAAGGCUAUGUUGGCCGGGCGACGGUUGUCCCGGUUUAAGCGUGUAGGCUGGUUUUCCAGGCAAAUCCGGAAAAUCAAGGCUGAGGCGUGAUGACGAGGCACUACGGUGCUGAAGCAACAAAUGCCCUGCUUCCAGGAAAAGCCUCUAAGCAUCAGGUAACAUCAAAUCGUACCCCAAACCGACACAGGUGGUCAGGUAGAGAAUACCAAGGCGCUUGAGAGAACUCGGGUGAAGGAACUAGGCAAAAUGGUGCCGUAACUUCGGGAGAAGGCACGCUGAUAUGUAGGUGAAGCGACUUGCUCGUGGAGCUGAAAUCAGUCGAAGAUACCAGCUGGCUGCAACUGUUUAUUAAAAACACAGCACUGUGCAAACACGAAAGUGGACGUAUACGGUGUGACGCCUGCCCGGUGCCGGAAGGUUAAUUGAUGGGGUUAGCGCAAGCGAAGCUCUUGAUCGAAGCCCCGGUAAACGGCGGCCGUAACUAUAACGGUCCUAAGGUAGCGAAAUUCCUUGUCGGGUAAGUUCCGACCUGCACGAAUGGCGUAAUGAUGGCCAGGCUGUCUCCACCCGAGACUCAGUGAAAUUGAACUCGCUGUGAAGAUGCAGUGUACCCGCGGCAAGACGGAAAGACCCCGUGAACCUUUACUAUAGCUUGACACUGAACAUUGAGCCUUGAUGUGUAGGAUAGGUGGGAGGCUUUGAAGUGUGGACGCCAGUCUGCAUGGAGCCGGCCUUGAAAUACCACCCUUUAAUGUUUGAUGUUCUAACGUUGACCCGUAAUCCGGGUUGCGGACAGUGUCUGGUGGGUAGUUUGACUGGGGCGGUCUCCUCCUAAAGAGUAACGGAGGAGCACGAAGGUUGGCUAAUCCUGGUCGGACAUCAGGAGGUUAGUGCAAUGGCAUAAGCCAGCUUGACUGCGAGCGUGACGGCGCGAGCAGGUGCGAAAGCAGGUCAUAGUGAUCCGGUGGUUCUGAAUGGAAGGGCCAUCGCUCAACGGAUAAAAGGUACUCCGGGGAUAACAGGCUGAUACCGCCCAAGAGUUCAUAUCGACGGCGGUGUUUGGCACCUCGAUGUCGGCUCAUCACAUCCUGGGGCUGAAGUAGGUCCCAAGGGUAUGGCUGUUCGCCAUUUAAAGUGGUACGCGAGCUGGGUUUAGAACGUCGUGAGACAGUUCGGUCCCUAUCUGCCGUGGGCGCUGGAGAACUGAGGGGGGCUGCUCCUAGUACGAGAGGACCGGAGUGGACGCAUCACUGGUGUUCGGGUUGUCAUGCCAAUGGCACUGCCCGGUAGCUAAAUGCGGAAGAGAUAAGUGCUGAAAGCAUCUAAGCACGAAACUUGCCCCGAGAUGAGUUCUCCCUGACUCCUUGAGAGUCCUGAAGGAACGUUGAAGACGACGACGUUGAUAGGCCGGGUGUGUAAGCGCAGCGAUGCGUUGAGCUAACCGGUACUAAUGAACCGUGAGGCUUAACCUU